GACGAACGCUGGCGGCGUGCUUAACACAUGCAAGUCGAACGGAGAGGCCUGCUUUCCCUUGUGGAUUGCGGGUACUCGAGUGGCGAACGGGUGAGUAACACGUGAGUGAUCUGCCCCCAACUUGGGUAUAAGCCUGGGAAACUGGGUCUAAUUCCCGAUAGGACUGCAGGGUGGUGCCUGUGGUGGAAAACGAUUUUCUAGUGGUUGGGGAUGAGCUCGCGGCCUAUCAGCUUGUUGGUGGGGUAAUGGCCUACCAAGGCGGCGACGGGUAGCCGGCCUGGGAGGGUGGACGGCCACAUUGGGACUGAGAUACGGCCCAGACUCCUACGGGGGGCAGCAGUGGGGAAUAUUGCACAAUGGGCGGAAGCCUGAUGCAGCGACGCCGGGUGGGGGAUGACGGCCUGCGGGUUGUAAACUCCUUUCGACCGCGAGGAAGCCACCUGGUUGGAAGGGUGGUGACGGUAGUGGUAGAAGAAGCACCGGCUAACUACGUG
RNAcentral lists this ribosomal RNA (494 nucleotides) under uncultured bacterium. RNAcentral's name for it is "partial 16S ribosomal RNA". It matches the Rfam family "Bacterial small subunit ribosomal RNA", at positions 28 to 507 of the family's 1533-position model. The record is from RNAcentral.